This is a long non-coding RNA of Oncorhynchus tshawytscha (Chinook salmon), 1179 nucleotides long. NCBI's taxonomy places the organism in Eukaryota, Metazoa, Chordata, Actinopteri, Salmoniformes, Salmonidae. The record is from Ensembl.
GUGAGAGGCGAAGACGAGAGUGGAGAAGAGGAGCAGAAAGGAGAAGGGAGAGGAGAUAGGAGAGGGGAGAAGGAGAGGAGAUAGGAGACGAUAGGAAUGGAAGGGGAGGGGGGAGGAGAGGCGAAGACGAGAGGAGUGGAGAAGAGGAGCAGAAAGGAGAAGGGAGAGGAGAUAGGAGAGGGGAGAAGGAGAGGACAUAGGAGACGAUAGGAAUGGAAGGGGAGGGGGAGGAGAGGCGAAGACGAGAGGAGUGGAGAAGGGAGAGGAGAUAGGAGAGGAUAGGAAUGGAAGGGGAGGGGGGAGGAGAUAGGAGACGAUAGGAAUGGAAGAGGAGGGUGGAAGAGAGCAGAGCAGAACAGCCGAGAGGAGAGGAGUUCCCCAGUCAAGCCAGCCAGAGGAAAGUUCUGGUUUGAAUUAGAGAAUAAGCAGCACUGAGAAGGAGGGAAUGAUGACACUUUAUUAGAGCAGCUGCUCAGAACGGUAUGAUGGAGUUCAGUAUGAUGGGGUUCAGUAUGAUGGAGUUCAGUAUGAUGCUGUUCAGUAUGAUGGAGUUCAGUAUGAUGGGGCUCAGUAUGAUGGGGUUCAGUGGGAUGGGUUCAGUGGGAUGGUGUUCAGUGUGAUGGAGUUCAGUAUGACAGGGCUCUGUAUGAUGGGGUUCAGUGUGAUGGGGUUCAGUAUGAUGGGGUUCAGUGUGAUGGGGUUCAGUAUGAUGGUGUUCAGUAUGAUGGAGUUCAGUAUGAUGGUGUUCAGUGUGAUGGAGUUCAGUAUGAUGGGGUUCAGUAUGAUGGGGUUCAGUGGGAUGGUGUUCAGUGUGAUGGGGUUCAGUGGGAUGGGGUUCAGUAUGAUGGAGUUCAGUGGGAUGGUGUUCAGUAUGAUGGGGUUCAGUGUGAUGGGGUUCAGUAUGAUGGGGUUCAGUGGGAUGGGGUUCAGUAUGAUGGGGUUCAGUGGGAUGGGGUUCAGUGGGAUGGGGUUCAGUGUGAUGGGGUUCAGUAUGAUGGGGUUCAGUGGGAUGGGGUUCAGUGGGAUGGGGUUCAGUGGGAUGGGGUUCAGUGGGAUGGGGUUCAGUGUGAUGGGGUUCAGUGGGAUGGGGUUCAGUGGGAUGGGGUUCAGUGGGAUGGGGUUCAGUAUGAUGGAUUUCAGUAUGAUGGGGUUCAGUGGGAUGGGGUUCAGUGGGAUGGG